CUGGCGGCAGGCUUAACACAUGCAAGUCGAGCGGAAACGAUGGGAGCUUGCUCCCAGGCGUCGAGCGGCGGACGGGUGAGUAACACUUAGGAAUCUACCUAGUAGUGGGGGAUAGCUCGGGGAAACUCGAAUUAAUACCGCAUACGUCCUACGGGAGAAAGGGGGCAACUUGUUGCUCUCGCUAUUAGAUGAGCCUAAGUCGGAUUAGCUAGUUGGUGGGGUAAAGGCCUACCAAGGCGACGAUCUGUAGCUGGUCUGAGAGGAUGAUCAGCCACACCGGGACUGAGACACGGCCCGGACUCCUACGGGAGGCAGCAGUGGGGAAUAUUGGACAAUGGGGGCAACCCUGAUCCAGCCAUGCCGCGUGUGUGAAGAAGGCCUUUUGGUUGUAAAGCACUUUAAGCAGUGAAGAAGACCAUAUGGUUAAUACCCAUAUGCGAUGACAUUAGCUGCAGAAUAAGCACCGGCUAACUCUGUGCCAGCAGCCGCGGUAAUACAGAGGGUGCAAGCGUUAAUCGGAAUUACUGGGCGUAAAGCGAGCGUAGGUGGCUUGAUAAGUCAGAUGUGAAAUCCCCGGGCUUAACCUGGGAACUGCAUCUGAUACUGUUAGGCUAGAAUAGGUGAGAGGAAGGUAGAAUUCCAGGUGUAGCGGUGAAAUGCGUAGAGAUCUGGAGGAAUACCGAUGGCGAAGGCAGCCUUCUGGCAUCAUAUUGACACUGAGGUUCGAAAGCGUGGGUAGCAAACAGGAUUAGAUACCCUGGUAGUCCACGCCGUAAACGAUGUCUACUAGUCGUUGGGUCCCUUGAGGACUUAGUGACGCAGCUAACGCAAUAAGUAGACCG
RNAcentral lists this ribosomal RNA (842 nucleotides) under uncultured Psychrobacter sp. Its description in RNAcentral is "bacterial SSU rRNA". It matches the Rfam family "Bacterial small subunit ribosomal RNA", at positions 36 to 871 of the family's 1533-position model. Lineage: Bacteria; Pseudomonadati; Pseudomonadota; Gammaproteobacteria; Moraxellales; Moraxellaceae. The record is from RNAcentral.